GGUGAAUGUGAUAAGAACAAUUUGUCAUGAUAUUAAAAAUUCAUUUUAGGUAUUUUUGUUGCGAACCAUGCUUAAUUCCAAAGAAAAAUGUUGUUUUUUUCCCUUGUUUUUGAGAACAGUGAUAAAUGUUUAUUAUUAUUAGCAGUGAUAAACAAAGCUUAUAAAAGGGACUCUUGAAUUUGUUGUAGGAUCAUGUGCUUAAGUAUAGUUUAACCUUUUGCUUCUCUUAGCAAUAUAGAUUGCACCAUUACAGCGAUAGGUUCUUACGUACAGUGCAGAAAAAAAGGAUCAAAUAUGUCUAAACAAUAUUCAUCGGAGCAGAAGGUGCUAAUUGAAGGACUGAAGAAGCUUCUCAAUAGUGAGAAGGAUGAAUUAGACAACGAAGUUGCGUCAAAAAUUGAGAAGCUGAUUUCUGAGAUGCCAGAACACCAUCUUGAUCCAGUCCAGAGGAUUAAAAAUGGGUUUCAUUACUUCAUGAAAAACAAAUAUGAGUAUGAUACAAUUAUAUGUCACUACACAAUAAGCUAAUUGAUAGACAAUGGCUGGCUUGAUCUCAUUUGCAAAGAAAUUUUGCACCGUUUGAUUAGUUUUAAAUUGUUUCUUGCUUACCAUUUUAAAUCAGGGUUAUUUCAAAAACUCGAUUUCAACCUGAAUUACAUUAGUUUUAUUUUAUGAGAAUUUCUUUGUUCUUAUUAUUGCAGCCCUGCAGUUAUAGAAGGUCAGCAGCCCAAGGUAAUGUUUACCAGGAGAUAAAAAAACUACUAGCUAAUUAGAAUGGAAAACCAUUAAUCAUGAUUAAGAUAUAUAUUUAUUAAUUAAUGCUAACAUUUGGUUCAGUUCCUGGUUUUUGCAUGCUCAGACUCUCGAGUUAGCCCUUCUCAUGUCCUGGAUUUCCAACCUGGUGAAGCCUUCAUGUUCCGCAACAUUGCGAACCUGGUUCCAGCAUUUAACCAGUUGAGGUACUCUGGAGUUGGAGCAGUCAUUGAAUAUGCUGUCAAAUAUUUAGAAGUGGAAAACAUCCUGAUCAUUGGACAUAGCCACUGUGGUGGGAUAGAUACACUUAUGAGUCUUCCAGAGGACGGUUCUACUUCCAAUGACUUCAUAGAUGAUUGGGUCAAAAUUGGUUUGCCUGCCAAAGCCAAGGUCCGAGCAGAGCAUCCAAAUCUCUCACAUGAAGAACAAUGCCAUAUUUGUGAAAAGGAAGCAGUGAAUCUGUCACUAGUAAACAUACAGAGCUACCCAUAUGUUAGGGCAGCAAUGGCAAAGGGAAAACUAGCACUGAGAGGUGGCUACUAUAACUUUGUUGAAGGAAUCUUUGAGCUUUGGGAAAUCAAGCAUCAAAUUACACACCCUACCAUAAUUAGAGGCUGAAGUCUCUUUGCCCUCUUGGUUUUAAUUUCUUGCUCUUUUGCUCUAUAAGCAUGCACGUACGUUUUGUUUGCCUCUGGUGUUUGCAAUAAUGGAAUUAUGAAAGUAAGCGUGGUGGUAAUGAUGAAGGUAAUAAUUUCGUAAUCAAUAAAGCCAGGCACAUAUUUGCUGGUUCAUUUUGGCAGCACUACAGAUAAUCCUCUUAUUGGCAGUCAAGUGCCACAUUGCAAACAAUAUAUUUUUGCUAGGCAGAUGUCAUGUGGGUUGUUUACUUUGUUAUUUUUCCCAAUUCAAUAAUAUAUUUUUGCUUAUUUAAAAAAUAAAGUGGCCACGUUGCCCACAUUCUGUAAUGCUUCCAUGUUGUGUGGCAUCCAUGUGAUAUCUAUAGCUUAGUGGCGUUGGUUUAACUUCGCUUUAGUCCGGUGAUAAAGGUGAAACUAUUUUCACGUCCAGGUCCUGUUUUUGCGUCGUUCUUGUACUUUGUUCGUUCCUUUAAAGUCAAGUGUUCUUUGUAUUUCUUUCGAGGUUUUUUUUUUACUUAACAUGCUAAAUCGAGUGUAUUGAGAAAACUUUUUAAUUUGAGUGUACUGAAUUUAUUCAUUCUAAA
RNAcentral lists this unclassified non-coding RNA (1975 nucleotides) under Hevea brasiliensis (rubber tree). Lineage: Eukaryota; Viridiplantae; Streptophyta; Magnoliopsida; Malpighiales; Euphorbiaceae. The record is from RNAcentral.